CCUACGGGGGGCAGCAGUGGGGAAUAUUGGACAAUGGGGGGAACCCUGAUCCAGCCAUGCCGCGUGUGUGAAGAAGGCCCUCGGGGUGUAAAGCACUUUCAGUGAGGAAGAACGCCUGGUGGUUAAUACCCAUCAGGAAAGACAUCACUCACAGAAGAAGCACCGGCUAACUCCGUGCCAGCAGCCGCGGUAAUACGGAGGGUGCGAGCGUUAAUCGGAAUUACUGGGCGUAAAGCGCGCGUAGGUGGCUUGAUAAGCCGGUUGUGAAAGCCCCGGGCUCAACCUGGGAACGGCAUCCGGAACUGUCAAGCUAGAGUGCAGGAGAGGAAGGUAGAAUUCCCGGUGUAGCGGUGAAAUGCGUAGAGAUCGGGAGGAAUACCAGUGGCGAAGGCGGCCUUCUGGACUGACACUGACACUGAGGUGCGAAAGCGUGGGUAGCAAACAGGAUUAGAUACCCGUGUAGUC
RNAcentral lists this ribosomal RNA (465 nucleotides) under Vreelandella stevensii. Its description in RNAcentral is "partial 16S ribosomal RNA". It matches the Rfam family "Bacterial small subunit ribosomal RNA", at positions 338 to 795 of the family's 1533-position model. Lineage: Bacteria; Pseudomonadati; Pseudomonadota; Gammaproteobacteria; Oceanospirillales; Halomonadaceae. The record is from RNAcentral.